This 1230-nucleotide long non-coding RNA is filed under the name Jatropha curcas. RNAcentral's name for it is "long non-coding RNA (JCUR_LNC002462)". The record is from RNAcentral. Lineage: Eukaryota; Viridiplantae; Streptophyta; Magnoliopsida; Malpighiales; Euphorbiaceae.
GAAAAUGAAGAAACAAAGGAAGAAAGAUCUCAUAGAAAAGAAAGAACAUAGUUCUUUUGUUCUUAUGUUUGUAAUUCUAGAAUUACUAUAAUGAAAGUUUAAGUUCUUCAUUCUCUCCACCACUUAUACUAUUAUUUUUCAAGUUUUUGCAGAGUUAGUUUUGUGUUUUGGAAAUAUAUUAGGUACCUCUUCUAUUUUUCAAUAUGGUAUAAGAGCUCCAAUGGUCUUAGAGGGCACGUGACUUUCCUUUUUGGUGUUUGAGAGAAAAAUUAUUUUUAUAAAAGAGGGGGGAAAGAAAAGAAAAUUUUAUUAUGUAAAUAAGUUGCGUUUUCAGCAUAAUUUUCCUCAUUAUUCAUUAAAUGUUUUCAGUAAAAGCUUCCUUUUUUAAGCCUCUUUACAUGCUACAUAUGUUAUCCAUGUUUCUUGUGAUGCGAUUGUUGUCCCUAAAGCAACGCACGCUUAGGAAGUGAUUUGGAGCAAAUUCCAGAAAUGUUUCCAAACAUGGAAGAUGGUGUCAAAUUGCAAAGAAAUGGUGUCAAUAAUGAUUCUAGAGCUGUCCAAGACAUUUCCAAGCAAACCAAGUUAGAUUUUGGAUGGUGUUCCAGAUAUAGAAGUUUUAUCAGGUCCAAUCACAAGAUCGCGAGCCAAGCAUCAAAGAGAGCAACUUCAUUUGGUGUUUGAGAGAAAAAAAUUUUUGUAAAAGAGGGAGGAAAGAAAAGAAAUUUUCAUUAUAUAAAUGAGUUGCGUUUUCAGCAUAACAUUUCCUCAUUAUUCAUUAAAUGUUUUCAGCAAAGCUUCCUUCUUUUAAGCUUCCUUACCUCCUGCAUAUGUUAUCCUUACUUGUUUACGUUAGGGAUCUCAGAAGGUCUAUAAAUUGCAAAAUCAACAUCUUUAUCAUGAGAUAUGCAAGUCUUUAAACUGAGAUGGUUGAAAAGGACCAGGAAGUCUUUAAACCAGUGAAGGGAACAUCAUGUCCAUAAAUUGAAAAUUUGUUUAGAGGGAUCUGAGCAUGUCUCUAACCUGUAAACUCUAUGAAAAUUUGAUGUUGAAAGGCUAUAAGUCUUCUUUUAUGGAAGUAAGGUGUUCAUUUCAUGAAGAGACUGGCAUUGUCUUAAAACUGCAAAAUUAUGGAGAGACAAGUAAGUCUAUCAACUACAAUGGAAAAGAAAAAAAAAAUUGUUAAAUGUUGAUUAAAGGUGGGGUUUUCUAUCCAGGAGGGUUACUGUCAAG